RNAcentral lists this ribosomal RNA (292 nucleotides) under uncultured bacterium. RNAcentral describes it as "partial 16S ribosomal RNA". The record is from RNAcentral.
GGACUACCCGGGUAUCUAAUCCCGUUCGCUCCCCUAGCUUUCGCCCCUCAGCGUCAGGUACUUCCCAGGAGGCUGCCUUCGCCGUUGGUGUUCUUCCGGAUCUCUACGCAUUUCACCGCUCCACCCGGAGUUCCGCCUCCCUCUCAAGCCCUCAAGUCUCGCAGUUUUCGAAGCCCCUUCCCAGUUAAGCCGGGAAAUGUCACUCCAAACUUACCAAACCGCCUACAGGCCCUUUACGCCCAGUAACUCCGGACAACGCUCGCCUCCUACGUAUUACCGCGGCUGCUGGCAC